This 495-nucleotide ribosomal RNA is filed under the name Bathykurila guaymasensis. RNAcentral's name for it is "partial large subunit ribosomal RNA". It matches the Rfam family "Bacterial large subunit ribosomal RNA", at positions 1809 to 2604 of the family's 2925-position model. Lineage: Eukaryota; Metazoa; Annelida; Polychaeta; Phyllodocida; Polynoidae. The record is from RNAcentral.
AAAAACAUUGCUUUUAGAAACCUUAUUAAAAGUUCAUCCUGCCCAGUGAUAUUUCAACGGCCGCGGUACCCUAACCGUGCAAAGGUAGCAUAAUCAUUUGCCUUUUAAUUGAAGGCUAGUAUGAACGGACAAACGAAAUUUAUACUGUAUCAGCUACACAAACCAAAAUUUAAACUUCAGGUGAAGAUGCCUGAAUUAUAUUGAAAGACAAGAAGACCCUAUAGAGUUUUAGUUUUAAUUAUUUCCCAUAAAAAUAAAACUUUGGUUGGGGCGACCUAGGAAUUACAAAAACAUCCUAAUAUUCAACGACCAUAUGUCACUAUAAUGAUCCUACUACUAGAAUUCAAAAUAAACUACCUUAGGGAUAACAGGCUUAUCUUCCUAGAGAGUUCAAAUUGACAGGAAGGUCUGGCACCUCGAUGUUGGCUUAGAAUAACCCUAUAAUGCAAAAGUUAUAUCGGGUCGGUUUGUUCAACCGUUAAACUUCUACGUGAU